Molecule: long non-coding RNA, 319 nt
Filed under: Trifolium pratense (red clover)
Lineage: Eukaryota; Viridiplantae; Streptophyta; Magnoliopsida; Fabales; Fabaceae
Description: long non-coding RNA (TPRA_LNC013363)
Source: RNAcentral
ACGAAUUGAUUUUGAAGUCGAUCGGACUCGGAGAAGAGAUGGAACCGGUAAGAGGGAGAGUAUGUCAGUGAAUAAUUCCGGUGGAAUGUUUGUCAUCGACGAUGAGAUUGGGAAGUGAUUUUGAUUUAAGCGAUUUUUUGGUGUUCGUCAUCUGCUCUUCUGCAGAUAUCUUUGGUAUGAUCCUCAACAUCUGUUGGUUUCGAUUUCGAUUUGAUCCUCACGGUUGUGGAACGAUGGCGAUGGCGUUGUUGAUUGUAAGGAAGGAGGGUGAAGGGACGAAGAGGAGUAUUUGCGGCGAACAAUUUAGGGUUAAUCUGGG